Molecule: ribosomal RNA, 393 nt
Filed under: uncultured bacterium
Lineage: Bacteria
Description: partial 16S ribosomal RNA
Rfam family: Bacterial small subunit ribosomal RNA
Source: RNAcentral
AUACGGAGGAUGCGAGCGUUAUCCGGAUUUAUUGGGUUUAAAGGGAGCGUAGGUGGGAUAUUAAGUCAGCUGUGAAAGUUUGGGGCUCAACCUUAAAAUUGCAGUUGAUACUGGUUUCCUUGAGUACGGUACAGGUGGGCGGAAUUCGUGGUGUAGCGGUGAAAUGCUUAGAUAUCACGAAGAACUCCGAUCGCGAAGGCAGCUCACCGGGCCGGAACUGACACUGAUGCUCGAAAGUGCAGGUAUCAAACAGGAUUAGAUACCCUGGUAGUCCACACAGUAAACGAUGAAUACUCGCUGUUUGCGAUAUACAGUAAGCGGCCAAGCGAAAGCAUUAAGUAUUCCACCUGGGGAGUACGCCGGCAACGGUGAAACUCAAAGGAAUUGACGGGG